This 959-nucleotide long non-coding RNA is filed under the name Volvox carteri. Its description in RNAcentral is "long non-coding RNA (VCAR_LNC002083)". Lineage: Eukaryota; Viridiplantae; Chlorophyta; Chlorophyceae; Chlamydomonadales; Volvocaceae. The record is from RNAcentral.
GUGAACUUCACACCAUAGUAUGAAAUGGUUUGCGGUUUAUCGUACAUGCAAAUGAGGAUAUAUGGCGUGGUUGCCAGAGGUUAAUUGGGUUAGCUUGCAUAUACACAGCUCAGGGACUAUUGAUAAUGCACACACCGAUGGCCUCGGAGGUUCCGGGAUCGACACCUGCCAGAAUCCAAUGGUGGAUAGUCAGUGUGCCCCGAGUUCGUGGGCGGCGAUGACCUAGAAUAGAAUUGACCUGCGAGUCUACCAGGAACGGAGUUGCGCCGCCAAUGUUCCGGCAGGUUUCGUUGGAUGCCGUUGGUGGGUGCUGAACCUGAGUGAGAACAACUGAGAAGUUGCCUAGGGUGACUGAAUGAGGGUGACCCCGAAAGGCAGGCUUUUACCAGGUAGCGGCCACGGGUGAAGAUAUACCCAUCUUUGACUAAUCCUCCAAAUUUUCCAUCUGCUUGCAGCCCUCAGUAGCACGCUUGCAAGCUGACUAUUCAGUCAUUGAACUCUCCAUUUUCGCGACCAGCAACAGCGUUACUCCACGUCAGCCUUCAAGUGCCGGAUGUAAUCAUCCUUAUGUGCAGCCCAGCUCUGAUCCACUGGCUUCAUGCAUCUGCACUUGUAGCAGAGCUGUGCUGCCGUGAAGGACGACUUGUCCUUGUCUGUUCGUGCUUUUUUGGCCGCGAUUGGCCUGCUGCCAACCCUGCAAUGUGCCAUCGGGGGAUAAACAUUUGGAUUUAGAAAAGGGAAAUGGUUAGAAUAUUCGGGCACCAUCAUGGUGGUAAAAAUUGUUUAGUUGCUUUCAUGGCGUGCUUGUUCGCAUGCAGAUCACGGGCAGCCAAGGCCGUAUUAUGAUGUGUAUCACCAUAUUGCAACAAAAAUGCGUCAUGCAAAGUGUAACAUGAAAGCGGCUUCUUGCCCGAUUUAUGCAUCCUAAACACAUCGGUGGCCCAGACCUGUAAUUUGCC